This 497-nucleotide ribosomal RNA is filed under the name uncultured bacterium. Its description in RNAcentral is "partial 16S ribosomal RNA". It matches the Rfam family "Bacterial small subunit ribosomal RNA", at positions 28 to 507 of the family's 1533-position model. The record is from RNAcentral.
GAUGAACGCUGGCGGCGUGCCUAAUACAUGCAAGUCGAGCGAACAGAUGAGGAGCUUGCUCCUCUGACGUUAGCGGCGGACGGGUGAGUAACACGUGGAUAACCUACCUAUAAGACUGGGAUAACUUCGGGAAACCGGAGCUAAUACCGGAUAAUAUAUUGAACCGCAUGGUUCAAUAGUGAAAGACGGUUUUGCUGUCACUUAUAGAUGGAUCCGCGCCGCAUUAGCUAGUUGGUAAGGUAACGGCUUACCAAGGCGACGAUGCGUAGCCGACCUGAGAGGGUGAUCGGCCACACUUGAACUGAGACACGGUCCAGACUCCUACGGGAGGCAACAGUAGGGAAUCUUCCGCAAUGGGCGAAAGCCUGACGGAGCAACGCCGCGUGAGUGAUGAAGGUCUUCGGAUCGUAAAACUCUGUUAUUAGGGAAGAACAAAUGUGUAAGUAACUAUGCACGUCUUGAGGGUACCUAAUCAGAAAGCCACGGCUAACUACGUG